AGCGUACACGGUGGAUGCCCUGGCAGUCAGAGGCGAUGAAGGACGUGCUAAUCUGCGAUAAGCGUCGGUAAGGUGAUAUGAACCGUUAUAACCGGCGAUUUCCGAAUGGGGAAACCCAGUGUGAUUCGUCACACUAUCAUUAACUGAAUCCAUAGGUUAAUGAGGCGAACCGGGGGAACUGAAACAUCUAAGUACCCCGAGGAAAAGAAAUCAACCGAGAUUCCCCCAGUAGCGGCGAGCGAACGGGGAGCAGCCCAGAGCCUGAAUCAGUGUGUGUGUUAGUGGAAGCGUCUGGAAAGGCGCGCGAUACAGGGUGACAGCCCCGUACACAAAAAUGCACAUGCUGUGAGCUCGAUGAGUAGGGCGGGACACGUGGUAUCCUGUCUGAAUAUGGGGGGACCAUCCUCCAAGGCUAAAUACUCCUGACUGACCGAUAGUGAACCAGUACCGUGAGGGAAAGGCGAAAAGAACCCCGGCGAGGGGAGUGAAAAAGAACCUGAAACCGUGUACGUACAAGCAGUGGGAGCACAGAGCAAUCUGUGUGACUGCGUACCUUUUGUAUAAUGGGUCAGCGACUUAUAUUCUGUAGCAAGGUUAACCGAAUAGGGGAGCCGAAGGGAAACCGAGUCUUAACUGGGCGUUAAGUUGCAGGGUAUAGACCCGAAACCCGGUGAUCUAGCCAUGGGCAGGUUGAAGGUUGGGUAACACUAACUGGAGGACCGAACCGACUAAUGUUGAAAAAUUAGCGGAUGACUUGUGGCUGGGGGUGAAAGGCCAAUCAAACCGGGAGAUAGCUGGUUCUCCCCGAAAGCUAUUUAGGUAGCGCCUCGUGAAUUCAUCUCCGGGGGUAGAGCACUGUUUCGGCAAGGGGGUCAUCCCGACUUACCAACCCGAUGCAAACUGCGAAUACCGGAGAAUGUUAUCACGGGAGACACACGGCGGGUGCUAACGUCCGUCGUGAAGAGGGAAACAACCCAGACCGCCAGCUAAGGUCCCAAAGUCAUGGUUAAGUGGGAAACGAUGUGGGAAGGCCCAGACAGCCAGGAUGUUGGCUUAGAAGCAGCCAUCAUUUAAAGAAAGCGUAAUAGCUCACUGGUCGAGUCGGCCUGCGCGGAAGAUGUAACGGGGCUAAACCAUGCACCGAAGCUGCGGCAGCGACGCUUAUGCGUUGUUGGGUAGGGGAGCGUUCUGUAAGCCUGUGAAGGUGUACUGUGAGGUAUGCUGGAGGUAUCAGAAGUGCGAAUGCUGACAUAAGUAACGAUAAAGCGGGUGAAAAGCCCGCUCGCCGGAAGACCAAGGGUUCCUGUCCAACGUUAAUCGGGGCAGGGUGAGUCGACCCCUAAGGCGAGGCCGAAAGGCGUAGUCGAUGGGAAACAGGUUAAUAUUCCUGUACUUGGUGUUACUGCGAAGGGGGGACGGAGAAGGCUAUGUUGGCCGGGCGACGGUUGUCCCGGUUUAAGCGUGUAGGCUGGUUUUCCAGGCAAAUCCGGAAAAUCAAGGCUGAGGCGUGAUGACGAGGCACUACGGUGCUGAAGCAACAAAUGCCCUGCUUCCAGGAAAAGCCUCUAAGCAUCAGGUAACAUCAAAUCGUACCCCAAACCGACACAGGUGGUCAGGUAGAGAAUACCAAGGCGCUUGAGAGAACUCGGGUGAAGGAACUAGGCAAAAUGGUGCCGUAACUUCGGGAGAAGGCACGCUGAUAUGUAGGUGAAGCGACUUGCUCGUGGAGCUGAAAUCAGUCGAAGAUACCAGCUGGCUGCAACUGUUUAUUAAAAACACAGCACUGUGCAAACACGAAAGUGGACGUAUACGGUGUGACGCCUGCCCGGUGCCGGAAGGUUAAUUGAUGGGGUUAGCGCAAGCGAAGCUCUUGAUCGAAGCCCCGGUAAACGGCGGCCGUAACUAUAACGGUCCUAAGGUAGCGAAAUUCCUUGUCGGGUAAGUUCCGACCUGCACGAAUGGCGUAAUGAUGGCCAGGCUGUCUCCACCCGAGACUCAGUGAAAUUGAACUCGCUGUGAAGAUGCAGUGUACCCGCGGCAAGACGGAAAGACCCCGUGAACCUUUACUAUAGCUUGACACUGAACAUUGAGCCUUGAUGUGUAGGAUAGGUGGGAGGCUUUGAAGUGUGGACGCCAGUCUGCAUGGAGCCGACCUUGAAAUACCACCCUUUAAUGUUUGAUGUUCUAACGUUGACCCGUAAUCCGGGUUGCGGACAGUGUCUGGUGGGUAGUUUGACUGGGGCGGUCUCCUCCUAAAGAGUAACGGAGGAGCACGAAGGUUGGCUAAUCCUGGUCGGACAUCAGGAGGUUAGUGCAAUGGCAUAAGCCAGCUUGACUGCGAGCGUGACGGCGCGAGCAGGUGCGAAAGCAGGUCAUAGUGAUCCGGUGGUUCUGAAUGGAAGGGCCAUCGCUCAACGGAUAAAAGGUACUCCGGGGAUAACAGGCUGAUACCGCCCAAGAGUUCAUAUCGACGGCGGUGUUUGGCACCUCGAUGUCGGCUCAUCACAUCCUGGGGCUGAAGUAGGUCCCAAGGGUAUGGCUGUUCGCCAUUUAAAGUGGUACGCGAGCUGGGUUUAGAACGUCGUGAGACAGUUCGGUCCCUAUCUGCCGUGGGCGCUGGAGAACUGAGGGGGGCUGCUCCUAGUACGAGAGGACCGGAGUGGACGCAUCACUGGUGUUCGGGUUGUCAUGCCAAUGGCACUGCCCGGUAGCUAAAUGCGGAAGAGAUAAGUGCUGAAAGCAUCUAAGCACGAAACUUGCCCCGAGAUGAGUUCUCCCUGACUCCUUGA
RNAcentral lists this ribosomal RNA (2789 nucleotides) under Escherichia coli. Its description in RNAcentral is "bacterial LSU rRNA". It matches the Rfam family "Bacterial large subunit ribosomal RNA". Lineage: Bacteria; Pseudomonadati; Pseudomonadota; Gammaproteobacteria; Enterobacterales; Enterobacteriaceae. The record is from RNAcentral.